GACAAUGUAGUCUAGUGGUGAAGGCACCAGGCUAGAAAGCAGGAGGCAGUGAGUUCAAGUCCUGCCUUAGCCA
RNAcentral lists this transfer RNA (73 nucleotides) under Ophiophagus hannah (king cobra). It matches the Rfam family "tRNA". Rfam says of the family: Transfer RNA (tRNA) molecules are approximately 80 nucleotides in length. The record is from Rfam by way of RNAcentral. Lineage: Eukaryota; Metazoa; Chordata; Lepidosauria; Squamata; Elapidae.